CUUCUCUCUGGAUUGGUUUUUUUCCUUCACCUUUAGAAGCUUUUUCUAAUUCACCAUCAACCCCCCUCCCCACAACUUAUAGUAAACUUUUCCCAUACCUGGGCUACUCAUGUUUCUUUAACAUUGUUGCACUUCAGUUUACUUGGCCUGUCCACAUAAGACCGUGAGUUCUUUGCUUGCUUUGUUAGCACAUACACUAAAAUUGGAAUGCUGCAGAGAAGAUUACCAUGGCCUCUGUGCAAGGAUGCCACACAAAUUUGUGAAACAUUCCAUAUUUUUUAAAAAGAAGGGAAGUCCAAUGGAAGAGAAUAGAGAACUCUAAAAUAUGACAACACACCUACAACCAUUUGAUCUUUGACAAAUCUGACAAAAACAAGCAACAAAGAAAGGAUUCCCUACUUAACAAAUGGUGCUGGGAGAACCGGGGAGCCAUAUGCAG
RNAcentral lists this long non-coding RNA (439 nucleotides) under Homo sapiens (human). The record is from RNAcentral. Lineage: Eukaryota; Metazoa; Chordata; Mammalia; Primates; Hominidae.